Molecule: ribosomal RNA, 148 nt
Filed under: uncultured Russula
Lineage: Eukaryota; Fungi; Basidiomycota; Agaricomycetes; Russulales; Russulaceae
Description: partial 28S ribosomal RNA
Rfam family: Eukaryotic large subunit ribosomal RNA
Source: RNAcentral
CAAAUCGGGUGAGACUACCCGCUGAACUUAAGCAUAUCAAUAAGCGGAGGAAAAGAAACUAACAAGGAUUCCCCUAGUAACUGCNAGUGAAGCGGGAAAAGCUCAAAUUUAAAAUCUGGUGGUCUUUGGCCAUCCNAGUUGUAAUUUA